CAACACGGACGGGUGAAAAGGGAAGCCGGUGGAAAUCCGGCACGAUGCUGUCACUGUGUAUGGGAGCUGUUUUCGAUUGCUCACUGGGAAACCGGGAAGAGGAAAAUGGCGAUGAUCAAAGUCAGGAGACCUGCCUGAAUGU
RNAcentral lists this non-coding RNA (142 nucleotides) under human gut metagenome. The record is from RNAcentral.